RNAcentral lists this transfer RNA (69 nucleotides) under Ciona savignyi (Pacific transparent sea squirt). Its description in RNAcentral is "tRNA (ENSCSAVG00000012487.1)". Lineage: Eukaryota; Metazoa; Chordata; Ascidiacea; Phlebobranchia; Cionidae. The record is from RNAcentral.
UCUAAAAUGGCGGAUAAACGCAUAAAAUUUAAGAUUUUAGCAUGAUUUACAUAAUUAAAUCUUUUAGAA